GAUGAACGCUGGCGGCGUGCCUAAUACAUGCAAGUCGAGCGAACAGACGAGGAGCUUGCUCCUCUGACGUUAGCGGCGGACGGGUGAGUAACACGUGGAUAACCUACCUAUAAGACUGGGAUAACUUCGGGAAACCGGAGCUAAUACCGGAUAAUAUAUUGAACCGCAUGGUUCAAUAGUGAAAGACGGUUUUGCUGUCACUUAUAGAUGGAUCUGCGCCGCAUUAGCUAGUUGGUAAGGUAACGGCUUACCAAGGCAACGAUGGUUAGCCGACCUGAGAGGGUGAUCGGCCACACUGGAACUGAGACACGGUCCAGACUCCUACGGGAGGCAGCAGUAGGGAAUCUUCCGCAAUGGGCGAAAGCUUGACGGAGCAACGCCGCGUGAGUGAUGAAGGUCUUCGGAUCGUAAAACUCUGUUAUUAGGGAAGAACAAAUGUGUAAGUAACUAUGCACGUCUUGACGGUACCUAAUCAGAAAGCCACGGCUAACUACGUG
This 497-nucleotide ribosomal RNA is filed under the name uncultured bacterium. RNAcentral's name for it is "partial 16S ribosomal RNA". It matches the Rfam family "Bacterial small subunit ribosomal RNA", at positions 28 to 507 of the family's 1533-position model. The record is from RNAcentral.